RNAcentral lists this ribosomal RNA (460 nucleotides) under uncultured bacterium. Its description in RNAcentral is "partial 16S ribosomal RNA". It matches the Rfam family "Bacterial small subunit ribosomal RNA", at positions 338 to 795 of the family's 1533-position model. The record is from RNAcentral.
CCUACGGGGCGCAGCAGUGAGGAAUAUUGGUCAAUGGCCGGAAGGCUGAACCAGCCAUGCCGCGUGAAGGUCAGUGCCCUAUGGGCGUUAAACUUCUUUUGUGUGGGAGCAAUAAUGGUCACGUGUGGCCAGACGAGAGUACCGUACGAAUAAGCAUCGGCUAACUCCGUGCCAGCAGCCGCGGUAAUACGGGGGAUGCAAGCGUUAUCCGGAUUUAUUGGGUUUAAAGGGUGCGUAGGCUGUGAGGUAAGUCAGCGGGGAAAUGCCCCCGCUCAACGGGGUGAAGUGCCAUUGAUACUGCCUUGCUGGAAUGCGGAUGCCGUGGGAGGAAUGUGUGGUGUAGCGGUGAAAUGCAUAGAUAUCACACAGAACACCGAUUGCGAAGGCAUCUCACGAAUCCGCGAUUGACGCUGAUGCACGAAAGCGUGGGUAUCAAACAGGAUUAGAUACCCCAGUAGUC